Pelobates cultripes (western spadefoot toad) is the source of this 287-nucleotide non-coding RNA. The record is from the annotation of a GenBank genome assembly. NCBI's taxonomy places the organism in Eukaryota, Metazoa, Chordata, Amphibia, Anura, Pelobatidae.
GGAACAUUUCUCCCAUGAAUAGAACGUUAGUUUACUCUUCAAUUUUUAGAUCGCUCAGUUAAAAAGGAUUCCUUGGCGAAACAAAGCCUAACAUUAUCUGUGUAAAAAUAGAAUGCCAGCCUUUCAUUUCUUCACAAUGUACAAGCUAUAUAUAGCUUUAUAGUGCCCAAAAAAGAACAAACUACGACAAGACUAAAAAGCAAAAAGAAACAGGGCAUGUCAUUUCUGGAAAGCUAUUAAAUAAUGAAUGCCACAUGUGUUUAAAGAUGUAACGAGGAGAAUAAAGC